RNAcentral lists this ribosomal RNA (497 nucleotides) under uncultured bacterium. RNAcentral describes it as "partial 16S ribosomal RNA". It matches the Rfam family "Bacterial small subunit ribosomal RNA", at positions 28 to 507 of the family's 1533-position model. The record is from RNAcentral.
GAUGAACGCUGGCGGCGUGCCUAAUACAUGCAAGUCGAGCGAACAGAUAAGGAGCUUGCUCCUUUGACGUUAGCGGCGGACGGGUGAGUAACACGUGGGUAACCUACCUAUAAGACUGGAAUAACUCCGGGAAACCGGGGCUAAUGCCGGAUAACAUUUAGAACCGCAUGGUUCUAAAGUGAAAGAUGGUUUUGCUAUCACUUAUAGAUGGACCCGCGCCGUAUCAGCUAGUUUGUAAGGUAACGGCUUACCAAGGCAACGAUACGUAGCCGACCUGAGAGGGUGAUCGGCCACACUGGAACUGAGACACGGUCCAGACUCCUACGGGAGGCAGCAGUAGGGAAUCUUCCGCAAUGGGCGAAAGCCUGACGUAGCACCGCCGCGUGAGUGAUGAAGGUCUUCGGAUCGUAAAACUCUGUUAUUAGUGAAGAACAAAUGUGUAAGUAACUGUGCACGUCUUGACGGUACCUAAUCAGAAAGCCACGGCUAACUACGUG